AAACAUUUUUGGGAGGAAAAUGUUUUUGAUUUAGCCUGCUCAAUGCUGUAAAUAGCUGCAGUAUCAUAACUGUACAAAGGUAGCAUAAUCAGUAGUCUUCUAACUGGAGGCUUGUAUGAAUGGUUGAACAGAAUAUUCUUUAGUUUAUGUGAAUUUUAAUUUCAUGUAAAAAUGCUUGAUUAUAAAAAAGGGACGAUAAGACCCUAUAGAAUUUUAAACUGAAAGUUUUUGUUGGGGUGACGAAAUUAACUUUCUUAAUAAAUAUUUUACAGUAAUUUUGGAUCCUAAUUUAGAUUAAAAGAUGAAAUUACCUUAGGGAUAACAGCGUAAUUUUUCUUUUAAGUUCAUAUUUGUAGAAAAGGUUACGACCUCGAUGUUGAAUUAAAUUACUUUUUGGCGGAGAAGCUUAAAU
This 412-nucleotide ribosomal RNA is filed under the name Acizzia indica. Its description in RNAcentral is "partial 16S ribosomal RNA". It matches the Rfam family "Bacterial large subunit ribosomal RNA", at positions 1823 to 2568 of the family's 2925-position model. Lineage: Eukaryota; Metazoa; Arthropoda; Insecta; Hemiptera; Psyllidae. The record is from RNAcentral.